GACGAACGCUGGCGGCGUGCUUAACACAUGCAAGUCGAACGGAAAGGCCCUGCUUUUGUGGGGUGCUCGAGUGGCGAACGGGUGAGUAACACGUGAGUAACCUGCCCUUGACUUUGGGAUAACUUCAGGAAACUGGGGCUAAUACCGGAUAGGAGCUCCUGCUGCAUGGUGGGGGUUGGAAAGUUUCGGCGGUUGGGGAUGGACUCGCGGCUUAUCAGCUUGUUGGUGGGGUAGUGGCUUACCAAGGCUUUGACGGGUAGCCGGCCUGAGAGGGUGACCGGCCACAUUGGGACUGAGAUACGGCACAGACUCCUACGGGAGGCAGCAGUGGGGAAUAUUGCACAAUGGGCGGAAGCCUGAUGCAGCAACGCCGCGUGGGGGAUGACGGCCUUCGGGUUGUAAACCGCUUUCGCCUGUGACGAAGCGUGAGUGACGGUAAUGGGUAAAGAAGCACCGGCUAACUACGUG
Molecule: ribosomal RNA, 468 nt
Filed under: uncultured bacterium
Lineage: Bacteria
Description: partial 16S ribosomal RNA
Rfam family: Bacterial small subunit ribosomal RNA
Source: RNAcentral